RNAcentral lists this ribosomal RNA (440 nucleotides) under uncultured bacterium. Its description in RNAcentral is "partial 16S ribosomal RNA". It matches the Rfam family "Bacterial small subunit ribosomal RNA", at positions 338 to 795 of the family's 1533-position model. The record is from RNAcentral.
CCUACGGGAGGCAGCAGUGGGGGAUAUUGCACAAUGGGGGGAACCCUGAUGCAGCGACGCCGCGUGGGUGAAGAAGCGCCUCGGCGCGUAAAGCCCUGUCAGCAGGGAAGAAAAUGACGGUACCUGAAGAAGAAGCCCCGGCUAACUACGUGCCAGCAGCCGCGGUAAUACGUAGGGGGCAAGCGUUAUCCGGAUUUACUGGGUGUAAAGGGGGCGCAGACGGGGUUGCAAGUCAGGAGGGAAAGCCCGGGGCCCAACCCCGGGACUGCCGUUGGAACUGCGUGGCUGGAGUGGAGGAGGGGCAGGCGGAAUUCCUGGUGUAGCGGUGAAAUGCGUAGAUAUCAGGAGGAACACCGGUGGCGAAGGCGGCCUGCUGGACUGCAACUGACGUUGAGGCACGAAAGCGUGGGGAGCAAACAGGAUUAGAUACCCUUGUAGUC